RNAcentral lists this ribosomal RNA (116 nucleotides) under Lentisphaerota bacterium. Lineage: Bacteria; Pseudomonadati; Lentisphaerota. The record is from RNAcentral.
CCCGGUGACAAUGGCGAGGAGGUAACACGCGUUCCCAUUCCGAACACGACCGUGAAGAGCCUCAGCGGCGAUGGUACUGUGGGGUAUUACCAUGGGAGAGUAGCACGUCGCCGGGA